This 230-nucleotide ribosomal RNA is filed under the name uncultured bacterium. RNAcentral's name for it is "partial 16S ribosomal RNA". It matches the Rfam family "Bacterial small subunit ribosomal RNA", at positions 103 to 334 of the family's 1533-position model. The record is from RNAcentral.
CGGGUGCGUAACACGUGAGCAACCUGCCCGAAGACCGGGACAACCCGAGGAAACUCGGACUAAUACCGGAUGUCCUCACCGGAUCGCAUGGUCUGGUGAGGAAAUGGAUUCCGCUUCGGGAUGGGCUCGCGGUCUAUCAGCUUGUUGGUGGGGUAACGGCCUACCAAGGCGACGACGGAUAGCUGGUCUGAGAGGACGAUCAGCCACACUGGGACUGAGACACGGCCCAG